AGGACAAGCCCGCCUGCAUGCGACCCUUUCUACAUGUACUCAGCGACGGUGUGCUUUGGCUGGCUGAAGAGCAGCCCGCUGGGGACCCCGGAAUAGCAGAGCAGUGUCUCUGUGCAGCGGGCCAGGUGUGCGGUGCCGCCCGCGCGGUGAUAGCAGCAUUCUGCUGGCUCGUAUGAGAGAAAUCGUGUCCGUAUGUGGUAUUCUGUUUUUCUUUCCCUGCGUAAUGUGUCUCUGGAAGAAGUCUCAGCAUUUCAGCCGAAAUCCAUUUCCAAACAUCAUAAUCCGGAUUCAGAUGAGAAGUUGACUCGCAGAGUAUUCACUGCUUGAAAUACAUGGGAAGCAAUUUAAAUGGCUAUCUGGUAACCCUUCCAUCUACUCUCUGAAGUAUGCUCAUGUAAAUACCACAAUGCAAGCAUUGCAGAAAGUACUCCCUACUUACACACUGAGGAGAAAAGAACACACAGGCCUGAAGGUCCAUAUCAGGUGACCUGUGUAUAUGAAGUAUACUAGCAUGUUAAAAAAUGCUCUGACAACUUCUUUUUUUAAGUAUAUCCUUUAGAAAACCUGUGUCUUUUCUUCAUUUGUGACCAAUAUAUAUUUGCUCCAUUUAGCAGUAAUGAUCUAGAUCAAGAACCCAUCUAGGCACCGUACAUAUACACAACAGAUAGUUUCCAACUGAGCUUAUAAUUCUAAAUAACUUGUCUUAAAAAUGGGAAGAGAAAUAGAGGUUUAUUUUUACCAUCUGGGAUCGGGGGAAAAUUAAUUUCUUAAUAGCUAGUAACUAAAAAAAGUCACCAACUUCCCAGCUCACUGUCUUCAUUGAAAGCUUAGUUUUCCUUUAGUUCUCUUUAAAUACAUCAAACUAUGUAACUAACUGAGAAAUGCCAUUAUUUUCUGUCCCUAUAUUUUUCUUCAUUUUGGUAUCUAGAUGUGCCAACACAAAUGACUGAAAAGCAGCAGUUUGAGAUAAAUGCCUGCAUUCAGAUACAUCAAGGAGAUGCAGUUAGAAAGAUAGACAGCUGAGCAGUCUAUGGAAGUGAUAGCUGUUCACUUUGAGAACUGCUGUCCUGAUGUAGUUGGUAUGUUAAGAGAUGUCUGUCAAACUUAUGGGAAAAUACACCACUAAAAUGCAGUGGAGGACACUACAGAGAAAAUUCUGCUACCACAUAAAUACUUAGGGAAUAGCAGCAGAAUGAAUGCGUAAGACAGAGGAAAGGCAAAUUAAAAGUAUCAGAUGAAGGAAGAAGAAGCUAAAUAUUAAGACACGACAUUUCCAUGUUUCCUGUUACUUUUUUUUCAAGGAGACAAAUAUGCUUUAACAAUUCCCAUAUCAAGGCUCAAUGGAAAUGUAAAAUGCACAAUAAAAACUUUAUUAAAAAAAAAAGUAGAAAAUAAAAGCUAAUAAAAAAAUUAAACACUGGAGUUAGGUGGAAAAAAAGUUGAAGUGAAAUGAUGUUUAUCCUUAUAUUAUUUACAUUUUUGAAGAAAAAAUAUUUUAGAAAUUAAUGGUCAUAUUUCAUAGUUUAUCUCAUUUAAUUUGGCAUCUAUCAUUAAAAAAAUGGAUCAAAUGCCGUUAACUUGUGCUUUAAAGGAUCAGAUGUUAUCACUUUUUAGUUCAUGUUGAGUUUAGUCUUCAAAGGUAGUGCAGAACAAGGAUGGCAGUAUGUUGGAUAUUGUAGGAAAGGCUUCUAAAAGAUGAUUGAAGCUUUCCAACAUGAAGGUAGAAGUACAGUGUUUCACCAUGCCCAGUGUUGCAUAGAGAUCUGCUAUUUUCAUCCCACUUACUGUUAUUUGGAGAGAGGUCUCAACUGACAUUAUUUUCUGGACAUGACAAUGACUUCUGUUUGAUAAAGAAAUUAGUAACUUUUUGGGGGUGGGAGGGGAGGGCUGUCUCUUAGAGUAAAAUAGGAAAAAAAUAUCAAAUAAAAAUGUAUCUUUGUUCUUAUGCUGUUUCCGUUGAAGUUGAUGGUAAAAAGUCUCUUUGACUUUCCUGGGAACAGGGCUGAACCAUUUUAAAUGCUAUAUUGUAAUAUAAAUCUUUUAGGUCUUAAAUAUUUCCAUACAGUGGAGCAAAGAAGUCUUAAACGUCAUCAGAAAGACUGCUUCUUGUUAGGCUGUUACAAUGUGCCAUUUCUGUUCAAAUAGCGUUCACUAAUAUGAGAGACAAAUACAUUUAUACAACUUGGAAGUUUGACACUUCAUUUGGUUGUUCACAGCUUUUAUACAUUAUAGUAUUUAUAAAAAUAUUUUUAACUCCUCAGUUGCAUAAAACAAAGCACAGAUGUUUUCCAGCAGCAUUUCCUCAUCAAGACUUUUAGCUUAGCCUUGCUGGAGUAUAGCACAGAAUUUGCUUACAGUUAAGCUAAACUCAAAAUAUUCCCUAGUUACCACGGUUCUAUAUGAAAGGCAGGGCAAGGAGGAGGGAAAUGGCAUCUCCUCUACAAAGGCUUCCACUUGCGGGACCUCAGGCAACUGAAACUUCUCAUCUUUGGAUCUUCUUCUCUCACUGACCAUGGCUUUGAUGAGGUUUCUGUAAAAGGACUGCAGAAAAAAGAUCUGAAAAUAUAGUCCUCUGGGAAGGACAGAGAGGUUUUCUUCUCCUGGUACACUUAGGAUUGCUGGGCUCAAAGCUAAAAUUCUCUGCUCCAGAGCAGCUGUGAUGACCUGCCAGUACUCUGUCUUCUCAUCUAGUGAAAGAAACACAACUUCCAUGAAAAAGUUGUCAUUACUUUUUCCCUGUUGUUAGCUUGGCUUGGUAAACAACUGGAUAGCAGUCGUACAGUCAUUUAAGUCUUAUUAGUGAUUCAUUAAUGGCUGAGUUUAUCUUAAGUGACGGGAGAGUCUCUCUUUUCUGUCUGUGUUAGUGCCUGCCUGUAUGUCUGUCUUGUGUGUCUAACUGUGGUCUCUUGCCAGACAUUUAUUUGUAAGCUUUCCAUGAGAAGAACUGUUGGUGUACUUACAGCAUCUUGUGCAAUGGCCAACAAUUGUAAAUACUGUACAAAUAUUGAUGAUAAGCUGCCUCCACCUGAGGAAAGACAGGCCUUUCUAACAAACAUUUUCAAGUCGAUGGUCAUUAAAAAGAAAAAAAAAAACCAAAACAAAUAAAGCAAAAACAGAAGAAACACACUUAAAGAAACAAACAAACAAACUACAGGAAAGAAGAAGAGUGAGGGGUAUCAGUAACUCACUCAUGGUGAGAAGGGAUACCUCUCUUGUCUCUGCACUUUUAUUGUCCCAGGAAAUCUCUGCUGCUCCUUAUGACAAAUGUAUGUCCUAAAGAUGUCUGAAGGGGUACUACAAAGGAAAUCAAAGCCAAUGAUUUCAAGCUAGAGGGACAUAUGAAGGAAUGGCAUCUUUUUGUGGGAAGGUUUAAACUGUGGCUUUUUCAGAGGAAAAAAACACACUACUAACAAAGUCUUCAUAAAAGCAGAGGUAAUAGAAAAUACUGACAAUAGUACAAGCUUUUCUUUGUGCUUUGGGCCUGAUCUUGAUGACUACCUUUACCAGCUAUCCCUUUGACCCGUGGUGGUACCACAUAGAUAAUCUUUUCAUGUGUGAGAAAUGAGAAGUCAUCCUGACUGCUAAAGGACAGCUAUCAACAGAAGCUCAAAACCCUGUCAGUCAAUAACAGCUUGCUUCCUCCAGUAAGAGGAGUGAAAGAGGUGUCUAACUGCUUCCAGAAUGUCUCUACUGAUAACUACCUAUAAUCACAGAAAGCAGUUCAGUCUCUCUCUGAGAGGAGUGCGCAUAAAUAUUUAUGGCUAGUAAACUGCAGCCAGUUGUGCUAUCCACGUCUUGAAUUGCUGCUGAUUCAGACUUGCAUGGAGACAUAAAAUCAAACUUCACCUGAAAACAUUUGGGAAACCCAGGGACGGGCAUGGUGACUGCCAAAAUUACCCACCAAAACCAAUGCCAUGAUUGCGUGAUUGCACAUAAACAAAAGCAUACAAAUGACCUCAUUUUUUACCAGCAAACUCUAUGGAUGUAUUGUAACAGCUGUAGGAAAAAAUACUGUAUUUGUAGUUCAAAUUAAUGCAACAUAGUCUAUUUUAACUCUAAAUUUUUCCUUGAAAGAAAAAGAGAUUUCCUCUGAGGAUAUUAGGUUGGGUGGAAUGAAAGUGAGUAUAGAAAGCUCAGAUAGGUAAUGCAAGGCUGGACCUGCACUCGUGCACUGGCAUUAGAAGAGUCUUAACAACUGUUUCAUCCUUGCAUUUGUUUUGUACCUUACCCAGCUAUGUUCAUAUCUGCCACUGGAACCCUGAAGCAUCGCUAUGGAAUACAAAUGCAAGAGAAAAAACAGUACAAACAACAAUACUUAUUCACCUAACACGCAUCUAACAUGCAUCUGAAACGAAAGCUGCCAAAGUAUUCUUAUUUUCAUUACUUCACUGUGGAAAACUUUACUAAUUUACCUUUAGUGUCUGCCUCAUAUUGCAUUUUACUGUUUGUUUACAGCAAGUUUCUCUUAGAGUGAAUUUAUGAGCACUAACACCUCUAUUCAAAAAUGCUCCUCCAUCUACAUUUCUGAUACUUUCCAGUGCACUCCAGUGGAGUAAGAGGAAAAAAAUAUGGUAAAAUAGUCUCCUGUUUUGGUGAAAAAUUGCUAACAGUUGUAAUGCUUAACCAACAAGGCAAUAAAAAUUAAUCACUGUUUAUGAGUGAUGCAUAUCCCACA
Molecule: long non-coding RNA, 4675 nt
Organism: Gallus gallus (chicken)
Lineage: Eukaryota; Metazoa; Chordata; Aves; Galliformes; Phasianidae
Exons: 3
Source: RefSeq, a predicted model, not a curated record